GAUGAAGAACGCAGCGAAAUGCGAUAAGUAAUGUGAAUUGCAGAAUUCAGUGAAUCAUCGAAUCUUUGAACGCACAUUGCGCCCGUCAGUAUUCUGGCGGGCAUGCCUGUUCGAGCGUCAUUACGCCCCUCAAGUCCCCUGUGGACUUGGUGUUGGGGAUCGGCGAGGCUGGUUUUCCAGCACAGCCGUCCCUUAAAUUAAUUGGCGGUCUCGCCGUGGCCCUCCUCUGCGCAGUAGUAAAACACUCGCAACAGGAGCCCGGCGCGGUCCACUGCCGUAAAACCCCCCAACUUUUUAUAGUUGACCUCGAAUCAGGUAGGACUACCCGCUGAACUUAAGCAUAUAAUAAGCGGAGGA
Molecule: unclassified non-coding RNA, 357 nt
Filed under: soil metagenome
Description: partial contains 5.8S ribosomal RNA, internal transcribed spacer 2, and large subunit ribosomal RNA
Rfam family: 5.8S ribosomal RNA (bases 1-120)
Source: RNAcentral